GCCCGGUUAGCUCAGCCGGCAGAGCGUUGGACUUUUAAUCCAAAGGCCAAGGUUUCAAGUCCCUUAUCGGGCU
This is a non-coding RNA of Ciona savignyi (Pacific transparent sea squirt), 73 nucleotides long. The record is from Rfam. Lineage: Eukaryota; Metazoa; Chordata; Ascidiacea; Phlebobranchia; Cionidae.